This 873-nucleotide ribosomal RNA is filed under the name Planctomycetes bacterium SCGC AAA300-E19. RNAcentral's name for it is "SSU rRNA". It matches the Rfam family "Bacterial small subunit ribosomal RNA", at positions 32 to 915 of the family's 1533-position model. The record is from RNAcentral. Lineage: Bacteria; Pseudomonadati; Planctomycetota.
GACGUUGGCGGCGUGAUUAGGCAUGCAAGUCGAGCGAGAAGGUUCCUUCGGGAACUGGACAGCGGCGAAAGGGAGAGUAACGCGUAGAUAUCUGCCUCGAGGCCCGGGAUAGCGGCGGGAAACUGCCGGUAAUACCGGAUAACAUCUCCGGAUCAAAGGUGUGAUUCCGCCUCGAGAUGAGUCUGCGUCCUAUUAAUGCUUGUUGGUGUGGUAACGGCGCACCAAGGCGAAGAUGGGUACCGGGUGUGAGAGCAUGGCCCGGCUCACUGGGACUGAGACACUGCCCAGACACCUACGGGUGGCUGCAGUCGAGAAUCUUCGGCAAUGGGCGAAAGCCUGACCGAGCGACGCCGCGUGCGGGAUGAAGGCCCUCGGGUUGUAAACCGCUGUCAGUAGGGAGCAAAUCUCUUGGGGUUAUCCCCUUGAGUUGAGCGAUCUUCAGAGGAAGUACGGGCUAAGUUCGUGCCAGCAGCCGCGGUAAGACGAACCGUACGAACGUUAUUCGGAAUCACUGGGCUUAAAGAGUCCGUAGGCGGCCGUGUAGGUGGGAUGUGAAAGCCCUCGUCUCAACCGAGGAAUUGCGUUCCAAACCACAUGGCUUGAGGAGGAUAGAGGUGAGCGGAACUGAUGGUGGAGCGGUGAAAUGCGUUGAUAUCAUCAGGAACACCAGAGGCGAAGGCGGCUCACUGGGUCCUUUCUGACGCUGAGGGACGAAAGCUAGGGGAGCAAACGGGAUUAGAUACCCCGGUAGUCCUAGCUGUAAACGAUGAGCACUAGAUCGAGGGGACUUCCACAUCUUCUCGGUCGUAGCGAAAGUGUUAAGUGCUCCGCCUGGGGAGUAUGUCGCAAGGCUGAAACUUAAAUGGAAUGCGG